AUUGAACGCUGGCGGCAUGCCUUACACAUGCCAGUCGAACGGCAGCACGGGUGCUUGCACCUGGUGGCGAGUGGCGAACGGGUGAGUAAUACAUCGGAACAUGUCCUGUAGUGGGGGAUAGCCCGGCGAAAGCCGGAUUAAUACCGCAUACGAUCUACGGAUGAAAGCGGGGGACCUUCGGGCCUCGCGCUAUAGGGUUGGCCGAUGGCUGAUUAGCUAGUUGGUGGGGUAAAGGCCUACCAAGGCGACGAUCAGUAGAUGGUCUGAGAGGACGACCAGCCACACUGGGACUGAGACACGGCCCAGACUCCUACGGGAGGCAGCAGUGGGGAAUUUUGGACAAUGGGCGAAAGCCUGAUCCAGCAAUGCCGCGUGUGUGAAGAAGGCCUUCGGGUUGUAAAGCACUUUUGUCCGGAAAGAAAUCCUUGGCUCUAAUACAGUCGGGGGAUGACGGUACCGGAAGAAUAAGCACCGGCUAACUACGG
This 485-nucleotide ribosomal RNA is filed under the name uncultured bacterium. RNAcentral describes it as "partial 16S ribosomal RNA". It matches the Rfam family "Bacterial small subunit ribosomal RNA", at positions 30 to 506 of the family's 1533-position model. The record is from RNAcentral.